UAUUUUCUAAGUUCUGUAGGAAUGUGACUUUGAAGGGGUUGAGGUUAAGAAAAUG
Molecule: transfer RNA, 55 nt
Filed under: Philometroides sanguineus
Lineage: Eukaryota; Metazoa; Nematoda; Chromadorea; Rhabditida; Philometridae
Description: tRNA-Phe
Source: RNAcentral